This 521-nucleotide long non-coding RNA is filed under the name Mus spicilegus (steppe mouse). Its description in RNAcentral is "lncRNA (ENSMSIG00000005366.1)". Lineage: Eukaryota; Metazoa; Chordata; Mammalia; Rodentia; Muridae. The record is from RNAcentral.
UGAGGCUCACUUUUCUGUUUCUCAUGAUCACUUAUGUCCGAUUUAAUGUAGCAUACACUCUGCCAACUAAAGUGCCCGAACCAGCUUCAUUUACCUUCCAGUGAAAUGCAGUGGAUGAGAGGGAAUCAUGCACAUAUUCAACUCCUUCAUAGAGAAGGAAUAGAAGUUCGACCUUAUCCAAUCUUCAUCAUACCGAAGGGGAGAUCUUGUUCAAGAGCUGCUCCAAAGACCAGAGUCAAAGAAAAAUGACUCCUGAGUGUCAGGACGUGAUCAGCCUUCUUCAUGGCGCCUAAGAAAUCUCCUCAUUCUCAAAGAAGGAACAACCUAGAGCAUGCACCGUAUUACCUCACAAUGCAAGUCUACUUAAAGGGCUCAUGCCAUGUUCAAGGUCUUUGACUACCUAUAGCUUGAUAUGAUAUUAACUCAUAAUUCACCCAUCCCCAUAUUAAACAUUGAUUCUGCCUUUUCUUUAUUAAAUCAUUGUGGUAGGCAAUGAGUUAGGGGAAUGGGAGAGAAGAUAG